Molecule: long non-coding RNA, 720 nt
Filed under: Nicotiana tabacum (common tobacco)
Lineage: Eukaryota; Viridiplantae; Streptophyta; Magnoliopsida; Solanales; Solanaceae
Description: long non-coding RNA (NTAB_LNC000808)
Source: RNAcentral
AUUUCAAUUAUGAAAUAAUCUCAACCGAGGAAAUCAAUAUUACUGCUCAUAAAUAGUUCAAAUUAGCACUAUCAGGAGCCUACUCAAACACCAUUUGUGAAUAUCUCUCUAUUUAAAUCUCAAGUUCUGAACACUACACUAUUCCAAAUAAAUAUGCACAUUCUUUUGUAUACAUCCAGUGCAUCUCCAUCAAUAAAGAUCUUAACGAAAACUUACCACUUUCCAAGAUGAUGUUACCUUCCUCAUAAUAACAUAUGUUGCAUGAUUCAAAUGAUUAUUUGAAACUCAGCAUAGAAAAAAAAUCUUAACAAAUAAAAAUAUCAUCAUUUUUAAGAAAAGUGAAGAUGCCAAUAUAAACCUGGCCAAUUGGGAAAUAUAAAAUUUACACUUGACUAACGUCCGCGCAUAAGAGAAAGCCUUUCUAGGUCAAAGCUACAACAUCAAGGAUCUGCAUAGAAAAAAAAUCUUAACAAAUAAAAAUAUCAUCAUUUUUAAGAAAAGUGAAGAUGCCAAUAUAAACCUGGCCAAUUGGGAAAUGUAAAAUUUACACUUGACUAACGUCCGCGCAUAAGAGAAAGCCUUUCUAGAUCAAAGCUACAACAUCAAGGAUCUCUCUGUCCUUGCGCCUAAAUUUCAGGCUUCAAAUCUUGUCUUCUGAACCUGAAAACAACCAAGUUUAUGCAGGAUAUUUGUGAAAUCGGUACAACUACAAUUGCUAUA